AAUGAACGCUGGCGGCGCGCCUAAUACAUGCAAGUCGAGCGAGAAGACGUAGCAAUACGUUUGUAAAGCGGCGAACGGGUGAGGGAUACAUGGGUAACCUACCCUCGAGUGGGGAAUAACUAGCCGAAAGGUUAGCUAAUACCGCGUACGCUUCUUGGACUUCGGUUCAGGGAGGAAAGCGAUACCGUGGGUAUCGCGCUCUUGGAUGGGCUCAUGUCCUAUCAGCUUGUUGGUGAGGUAACGGCUCACCAAGGCUUCGACGGGUAGCUGGUCUGAGAGGACGAUCAGCCACACUGGCACUGCGACACGGGCCAGACUCCUACGGGAGGCAGCAGUAAGGAAUAUUGCGCAAUGGGCGAAAGCCUGACGCAGCGACGCCGCGGUGGGGGAGUGAAGGUCGUUCGGUA
RNAcentral lists this ribosomal RNA (407 nucleotides) under uncultured bacterium. Its description in RNAcentral is "bacterial SSU rRNA". It matches the Rfam family "Bacterial small subunit ribosomal RNA", at positions 29 to 427 of the family's 1533-position model. The record is from RNAcentral.